This 398-nucleotide ribosomal RNA is filed under the name Ovis aries (sheep). RNAcentral describes it as "partial 12S ribosomal RNA". It matches the Rfam family "Bacterial small subunit ribosomal RNA", at positions 929 to 1509 of the family's 1533-position model. Lineage: Eukaryota; Metazoa; Chordata; Mammalia; Artiodactyla; Bovidae. The record is from RNAcentral.
CUAGAGGAGCCUGUUCUAUAAUCGAUAAACCCCGAUAAACCUCACCAAUCCUUGCUAAUACAGUCUAUAUACCGCCAUCUUCAGCAAACCCUAAAAAAGGGACAAAAGUAAGCUCAAUAAUAACACAUAAAGACGUUAGGUCAAGGUGUAACCUAUGGAGUGGGAAGAAAUGGGCUACAUUUUCUACCCAAGAAAAUUUAAUACGAAAGCCAUUAUGAAAUUAAUAGCCAAAGGAGGAUUUAGCAGUAAACUAAGAAUAGAGUGCUUAGUUGAAUCAGGCCAUGAAGCACGCACACACCGCCCGUCACCCUCCUCAAGUAAAUAUGAUAUACUUAAACCUAUUUACAUAUAUCAACCACACGAGAGGAGACAAGUCGUAACAAGGUAAGCAUACUGGA